This 260-nucleotide ribosomal RNA is filed under the name uncultured bacterium. RNAcentral describes it as "partial 16S ribosomal RNA". It matches the Rfam family "Bacterial small subunit ribosomal RNA", at positions 96 to 354 of the family's 1533-position model. The record is from RNAcentral.
UGGCGACGGGUGAGUAACGCGUGGAAAACCUGCCGUAUACUGGGGGAUAACACUUAGAAAUAGGUGCGUAAUACCGCAUAAGCGCACAGCUUCGCAUGAAGCGGUGUGAAAAACUCUGGUGGUAUACGAUGGUUCCGCGUCUGAUUAGCUAGUUGGUGGGGUAAUGGCCUACCAAGGCAACGAUCAGUAGCCGGCCUGGAGAGGGUGAACGGCCCACAUUGGGACUGAGACACGGCCCAAACUCCUACGGGAGGCAGCAG